Quercus robur (English oak) is the source of this 2028-nucleotide RNA transcript. It is a transcript of the gene named UDP-glucose 6-dehydrogenase 1-like, with no coding region annotated. NCBI's taxonomy places the organism in Eukaryota, Viridiplantae, Streptophyta, Magnoliopsida, Fagales, Fagaceae. The record is from RefSeq and is a predicted model, not a curated record. The transcript is spliced from 4 exons.
UGUUGGUGUCCUUAUUUCCUUGCCUCACCUAGUAUUCUAGUACAUGUAUUCCCUCUUCUUCCAUCUCUUUUAUAUUGACCUUGUGUCCUUAUUUCCUUGCCUCACCUAGUAUUCUAGUACAUAUAUUCCCUCUUCUUCCGUCUCUUUUAUAUUGACCUUUAUAUAAUUAAGGAAUUUAACCUAAGAAAAUGGUGAAAAUUUGCUGCAUUGGAGCUGGGUAUGUUGGAGGUCCUACCAUGGCAGUCAUUGCCCUCAAGUGCCCCUCAAUUCAAGUGGUUGUUGUUGACAUCUCUGUCUCUCGUAUCACGGCCUGGAACAGUGAACAGCUCCCCAUUUAUGAGCCGGGUCUUGAAGAUAUAGUGAAGCAGUGCAGAGGAAAGAACCUUUUUUUCAACACUGAUGUGGAAAAAAAUGUUGCAGAGGCAGACAUCAUUUUUGUUUCAGUUAACACCCCAACCAAAACUCAGGGCCUUGGAGCUGGCAGAGCUGCAGACCUGACAUAUUGGGAGAGUGCAGCCAGGUUGAUUGCUGAUGUUUCAACAUCCAACAAGAUUGUUGUUGAGAAGUCAACUGUCCCAGUGAAAACAGCCGAGGCAAUUGAAAAGAUCCUCUCUUUCAAUAGCAAGGGCAUCAACUAUCAAAUUCUCUCAAACCCGGAAUUUCUUGCUGAGGGAACAGCUAUUCAGGACCUCUUUAACCCUGAUCGGGUUCUCAUUGGAGGGAGAGAAACCCCUGAUGGCCAAAAGGCAAUUCAAACAUUGAAAGAUGUAUAUGCGCAUUGGGUGCCUGAAGACAGGAUCAUCACAACCAAUCUCUGGUCAGCAGAGCUCUCAAAGUUAGCUGCCAAUGCUUUCUUGGCCCAGAGGAUUUCGUCUGUCAAUGCUAUGUCAGCUCUCUGUGAGGCAACUGGGGCAGAUGUUUCACAGGUUUCCCAUGCUGUUGGUAAGGACACCAGAAUUGGAUCCAAGUUCCUUAAUGCUAGUGUUGGUUUUGGUGGAUCUUGCUUUCAAAAAGACAUACUCAACUUGGUCUAUAUUUGUGAUUGCAAUGGCCUACCUGAAGUUGCCAACUACUGGAAACAAGUCAUUAAGGUGAAUGACUACCAAAAGAAGCGGUUUGUGAACAGGGUUGUCUCUUCAAUGUUCAACACAGUUUCUGGUAAAAAGAUUGCCAUACUUGGGUUUGCCUUUAAGAAGGAUACUGGGGAUACAAGGGAAACGCCAGCAAUUGAUGUGUGCAAAGAGCUGUUGAGAGAUAGAGCACGGUUGAGCAUAUAUGAUCCACAAGUCACCAUGGAUCAGAUCCAAAGGGAUCUCUCGAUGGACAAGUUUGAUUGGGAUCAUCCAGUUCAUCUCCAGCCAAUGAGCCCUAGUACUGUGAAGAAAGUGAGCAUAGUUUGGGAUGCUUAUGCGGCUGCAAGGGAUGCUCAUGCGAUCUGCAUUCUAACCGAGUGGGAUGAGUUCAAGACCCUUGAUUACCAAAGGAUUUUUGAUAAUAUGCAGAAACCUGCAUUUGUGUUUGAUGGUAGAAACAUGGUGAAUGUCAAGAAGCUGAGGGAGAUAGGAUUCAUUGUGUACUCAAUUGGGAAGCCAUUGGACCCAUGGAUUAAGGACAUGCCUGCUGUGGCAUAAGAUGAAUAUCCUCUCUUGUGAAUUGAAAGCUGCACCUGAGCAUUAGAGCAUAAUGUGCUGACAAAUUUAUUGCAAGUUAAAAAGGUGCUCAUAUUGUGGAGAAGUGAUAAGGAAUUUCUUGCUGCUUCAGUGGUCAAAAUGGCUUUUCAUCAUUCAAAGAUUUCGUUUGUGGUAGUCUACGAAAGCUUGUGAAAGCUUGAUGCAUGAGAGGUAUAUGAUGAGGAAAAUGCGAAACCAGAUCUGACUGAAGAACAAUUUAAAAUUUGUGCUUGAUUUAUGGGGAAAGUGAAACAAUUUCUCAUAUCAAAGAAAGUUCAGGGUAAUUGGAAGAAAAACCUAGUGACAAUGUUUAUUUCAAGGACAUGGAAUGGAUUUAUUUGAGAUUGCUCUUAACAAA